ACUCUCAAGCCUCGGUAAAUGGCGAGGUAGCUGGGUUUGGGGAGAGGCGUUUAAACGUUCCGUCCACCUCAAGGGAAUCAGUCUUCCAGCUCUCUUGCUUCUGGAGGCCGCCGGUUCCGAGGCGUCGGGAGAAGGGUGCUCUCAGAGCCUGCGGGCUGGUGCUUCCCUCCUGACAGUCCCCGAGGUUGGAUAAGUACAGGUGGAGGGUAGCUGAAGAAAAAGCUGAGAAUGAGAUCUUCCAGUAGACAGUAUAGAACGAAAAGAGAAGGCAGCCUGCUCUCUUCUUGAAACUCAUCUGUUGAACUCUGGGAGACUACCCCAUCCUAGUUCUGUACCUGCCUCCCUACUUCUGCAUUUCAACUGUUGCUGAUCCACAAGGAUUGGACCUUCCCCCCAACCCCUUGGAGAACUUAUCUGAUGACUCAGGGUACAGGUUGCUCUGGAGCUCCAGCCCUGGGAACCCUUCUCCAGAUUGUAGAGAGAAGGAGGCAGCACAGUGUAGUGGAAAGAUCAUGGCCCAGUGAAUCAGGCAGAUGUGCGCCUCAUCACCUGGGGGAAAAAACUCCAAUCUAAACAUCCUGGUCUUCAACUGUAAGAUGACUGCCGAGCUAUGAAGUUGUUCAGAGAAUUCAAAAGGGUUUCGAUUUUGCAAUGCAUGUGAUUUCUAUGAUGGAUUCACUUGCCUCAAGCCACAAAAAUCUUGCUCGAAAUUUAAUCUUUUCUUCCCGACGGCUUGUACCACAGACCACUUUUACUUUUAUCAUCGUCGUACAGUUGCUAGGUGAAAGGGGUUAUGUUAUACAUAAAGAGAGAACAGAUCCAUUCCCCCAAUGCAUUUGAAGUAAACAAGGAACUGAAACCAAUGAAAAUGGAAAGCGGAAUGUUGGAGCCCAAGUUGGGUUACGUGGUGGCAAUGCAAGUCACUAUGCAAAUAAAGACUCUUGGGAGGUUAUGCAUGGGUUAUCUCUGAGGUUCCCCCAGUGUUUAUCUGCACUCUUUUGCUGCAUUGUAUGCUUUGCCUUUAAAUAAAAGCUGUACUCAGUAUGUUAUUUUUUAAUUUUUAAAUUAUAGUUGAUUUACUGUGUUGUUCCUAUUUCUGCUGUACAGUGAAGUGGCCCAGUCAUACGUAUAUAUACAUUCUUUUUCUCAUAUCAUCCCCUCUCAUGUUCCAUCCCAAGAGACUGCACACAGUUUCCUGUUGCUAUACAGCAGGACCUCAUUGCUUAUCCAUUCUAAAUGUAAUAGUUUGCAUCUACCAAUAUCAAACUCCCUGUCUAUUCCACUCCCUUCCCUUUCCCCUUCCCCUUGGCAAGCACAAGUCUGUUCUCCAUGUCUGUGAGUCUGUUUCUGUUGUGUAGAUAGGUGUUCAUUUGUACCACAUUUUAGAUUCCACAUAUAAAUAAUAUGUUUGUCUUUUGCUUUCUGACUUCACUUAGUAUGAGAAUCUCUAAUUGCAGCCACGUUGCUGCAAAUGUCAUUAUUUCGUUCUUUUUUGUGGCUGAGUAGUAUGCAAUUGUGUAUAUGUAACACAUCUUCAUAACCUAUUCAUCUGUUGAUGGACAUUUAGGUGGUUUCCAUGUCUUGGCUAUUGUGAAUAGUCCUGCUAUGUGUCUGCUGGCCAUCCAUAUGUCUUCUUUGGAGAAAUGUUUAUUUAGGUCUUCUGCCCAUUUUUUGAUUGGGUUUUUGUUUGUCGUUGUUGAGUUGUAUGAGUUGUUUUAUAUUUCUCAUAAAUUAAGUCCUUGUCAGUUGCAUCAUUUGUAGGUUGUUUUCUUUUUUAUGGUUUGUUUCCUUUGCUGUGCGAAAGCUUGUGAGUUUGAUCAGGUCCCCUUUGUUUGUUUUUAUUUCUAUUGUCUUGGGAGACUGACCUAAGAAAACAUUUGUAUGGUUGAUGUCAGAGAAUGUUUUGCCUAUGUUCCCUUCUAGGGGUUUGGUGGUGUCUUAUGUUUAAGUCUUUAAGCCAUUUUGAGUUUAUUUUUGUGCAUGGUAUGAAGGUGUGUUUUAGUUUCAUUGAUUUAGCUGCAGCUGUCCAGUUUUCCCAGCACCACUUCCUGUCUUUUUCCCAUUUUAUAUUCUUGCCUCCUCUGUUGAAGAUUAAUUGACCAUAGUGGGUUUAUUUAUGUUCCAUUGAUCUGUAUGUCUGUUUUGGUACCAGUACCACACUGUCUUGAUUACUGUAGCUUUAUAAUAUUGUCUGAAGUCUGGGAGAGUUAUACUUCCUGCUUCCCCCGCCCCCCAUCCCCCAGGAUUGCUUUGGCAAUUCUGGGUCUUUUAUGGUUCCAUAUAAAUUUUUGGAUUAUUUAUUCUAAUUCUGUAAAAAAUGUCAUGGGUAAUUUGAUAUGGAUUACAGUAAAUCUGUAGACUGCUUUUGUUAGUAUGGCCAUUUUAAUGAUAUUAAUUUUCCCAAUCAGGAGCAUUGGAUAUCUUUCCAUUUCUUUGAAUCCUCUUUAAUUUCUUUGAUUAAUGUUUUACAGUUCUCAGCAUAUAAGUUUUUCACCUCCUUGGUCAGGUUUAUUCUUAGGUAUUUAAUUUGGGGGUGUGUGAUUUUAAAAAGUAUUGAUUUUUUAAUUUCUUUUCUAAUAUUUCAUUAUUAGGAUACAAAAAUGCAACUGAUUUCUGAACAUUAAUCUUAUAUCCUGCUACUUUGCUGAAUCCAUUGAUCAGACCAAGUAGUUUUUGUGUGGAGUCCUUAGGGUUUUCUAUAUAUAGUAUGAUGUUAUCUGCAUAUAGUGACAGUUUUUACCUCUUCUCAUCCAAUUUGCAUAGCUUUUAUUUCUUUUGUUUGCCUGAUUGCCAUGGCUAGACCUUCAAUACUAUGUUGAUUAAAAGUGAUGAGAAUGGGCAUCUUUGUCUUGUUUCAGAUUUUAGCUGGAAGGCUUUCAGCUUUUCUCCAUUGAGUGUUAUAUUGUCUAUGGGUUUGUCAUAAAUGGCUUUUAUUAUGUUAAGGUGUGUUCCCUCUAUACACACUUUGGUAAGUUUUUAUCAUGAAUAGAUGUUGGAUUUUGUCAAUUGUGUUUUCUGCAUCUAUUGAGAUGGUCAUGUGGUUUUUGACUUUCGUUAAUGUGUUGUAUUAAAUUGAUUGAUUUGCAGAUGUUGAACCAUCCGUGAACUUGGGAUGAAUCCUACUUGGUCGCAGUGUAUGAUCUUUUUUAUGUGUUGUUGGAUUUGGGUGGCUAAAAUUUUGUUGAGGAUUUUUGCUUUUAUAUUUAUCAGCAAUCUUGGCCUAUAAUUUUCUUUUUGUAGUAUCUUUGUCUCGUUUUGGUAUUAGGGUGAUGGUGGCUUCAUAGAAUGUUUUUGGGAAUGUUCCUUCUUCCUCAUUCUUUUGGAAAAGUUUAGGAAGAAUGGGUAUAUGUUCUUCAUAUGUUUGGUAGAAUUCACCUGUGAAGCCAUCUGGUCCUGGACUAUUGUUUGUGAGGAGUGUUUUUAUUAAAUAUUCAAUUUCAUAUCUAGUGAUCGGUCUGUUCAGAUUAUUUAUUUCUUCUUGAUUCAGUUUUGGUGGGCUGUAUGUCUCUAGAAAGUUGUCCAUUUCUUCUAGGUUGUUAAAUUUGUUGGCGUAUAAUUGUUCAUAGUAUUGUCUAAUGGUUUUUUGUAUUUCUGCAGUAUCAGUUGAGAUUUCUCCUUUUUAAUUUCUUAUUUUAUUUGUAGUCUCUCUUCUUGGUGAGUCUGGCCAGAGGUUUGUCAAUUUUGUUUACCCUUUCAAAGAACCAGCUCUUUGAUUUUUUUUCUGUUUUUUAAUCUCUAUUUUAUUAGUUUCCCCUGAUCUUUAUGAUUUCCUUUCUUUUGCUGACUUUUGGUUUGUUUAUUUUUCUUUCUCUAAUUCUUUUAGAUGGUAGGUUAGGUUGUUGAUUUGAGAUUUUUCUUCUGUUUUGAGGAAGGCCUGUAUUGCUGUGAACUUAACCUCUAAGAACUGUUUUUGCAGCAUCCCAUAGAUUUUGAAUGGUUGUGUUACUCAGUAUGUUCUAUGAGUAAUUAUGCUCCAUUAAGAAUAAGUAUGUUCUAAGAAGUCUGGUGAGUCCCUUUCAACUAUCUAAACUUGGGGAAUCUUUGUAAAACCUCAAAGAAUACUCAAUAAAUUCCAAGAAAUGGAAAUAAUAUAAGCAAUAUUCAUUUACCACAUGUAGUAAACUAGAAGCUAAACAAAACCAGAAAGAUACCAUAACUAGGAAAUACUAGAAACAUGUUAUGAAGCAACUCUUAUGUCAAAAGGGAAAUCCAAAAUCAAAAAAAUGCAAAUUUUUUUUUAAGUCCACACCAACAACAUAUGGAAUUUCCUGGGCCAAUGAUGGAAUCUGAGCUGCUGUUGCAUUUGGAUUCUUAACCCACUGCCCCACAGUGAGAACUCUACAAAAACUUGGAAUUUUUUAACAGCAAGCUUGAAAAACAUGACAUGUCAGAAAACUAUGGAAUACAGCAAAAGCAUUUACCAGAGGAAAAAUCAAACG
RNAcentral lists this long non-coding RNA (4439 nucleotides) under Sus scrofa (pig). RNAcentral describes it as "lncRNA (ENSSSCG00000053939.1)". Lineage: Eukaryota; Metazoa; Chordata; Mammalia; Artiodactyla; Suidae. The record is from RNAcentral.